GAUGAACGCUGGCGGCGUGCCUAAUACAUGCAAGUCGAGCGAACGGACCAGACGUUUGCUUCUCUGAUGUUAGCCGCGGGCGGGGGUGUCACACGUGUAUACCCUCCUUAUCAGACUGGGAUAAUUUCGGGAAUCCGGCUCUUAUACCGGAUAAUCUUUUGCUCCAUAUGGUUCAAAAGUGAAUUACGGCCUUUCGGUCACUACUCGCUGCUUCCGCGCUGCAUUAGCUGGUUGGUAAGGUAAAGGCCUACCAAGGCAACGAUGCAUGGCCGACCUGAGAGGGUGAUCGGCCACACUGGAACUGAGACACGGUCCAGACUCCUACGGGAGGCAGCAGUAGGGAAUCUGCCGCAAUGGGCGAAAGCCUGACGGAGCAACGCCGCGUGAGUGAUGAAGGUCUUCGGAUCGUAAAACUCUGUUAUUAGGGAAGAACAUAUGUGUAAGUAACUGUGCACAUCUUGACGGUACCUAAUCAGAAAGCCACGGCUAGCUACGUG
This 497-nucleotide ribosomal RNA is filed under the name uncultured bacterium. RNAcentral describes it as "partial 16S ribosomal RNA". It matches the Rfam family "Bacterial small subunit ribosomal RNA", at positions 28 to 507 of the family's 1533-position model. The record is from RNAcentral.